This 1213-nucleotide long non-coding RNA is filed under the name Heterocephalus glaber (naked mole-rat). Its description in RNAcentral is "lncRNA (ENSHGLG00100043424.1)". Lineage: Eukaryota; Metazoa; Chordata; Mammalia; Rodentia; Bathyergidae. The record is from RNAcentral.
CUGUUAAUGGCACUCAACUUGACAGGGUUGUUUUGAUAAAUGCAGGGUGUUAGGAAAGCAGGAGCUGGAUUUUGAAUGGAAUGGAGCUUAGGACAAAUGGAAGCAAUGCCAGACUUGGGCCAGUGAGCGAUGCUGUUAGGAACCAAGCAAUGCCAUGUGCAGUGCCGAAGGUCUCCCAGUUUACAAACUCACAGACUUUACUUUGAGGAGUGGGGAUGGGGUUUGGAAUGUGGGUCAUCACGGACUGGGAGUCUCAUAGCACAAGAGCUCUUCUGCAGGCUCUGCAUCAGGUAAAUAGAGGCCUUUUCUUUAGAGAGGAAACAAAUGAAAGUAGUUUAGUGCAAAAGAAGGGUGACGAUUAAUUCUUUUCUAUUCGUAGUAGAAUUGGGUAGUCCUUUUGCAUUUUGAGAAGCUGUGAAGACAAAGCUAGUGUACAAGUGCUUUCAAAAUUUUAUAUUGUGCUCACAUUGCUCAGUGUGUAUACACAAAGUCUGGUUUGCCUGCUUCUGUUUGCCUGUUCCUUAAAUGCCAGGUAAGCAGGGAAUACUUUGCUUGAAUAAAUCAGUGGUGGCCUCUGUACCUGAUCAAUUCUAGCUUGCAGAUAGGACCCUGGUUAGAGUCUCAGGGUUUUUAUGAGUAACAAUUAUUUGGAUCUCUAUAAAGUGGGCAUAAAACAUUUUUUAGUAGGCUUUUAAAGAUUAAUGGGAGGUACAUGUAUUCACAUAGAUGCCGCUUAUUUGAGGUAGGCCUUUUUUGUUUUGGACCCAGGGUCUUGCUAUGUAGCCCAGGCUGGUCCCAAACUCGCGGCAGUUGUUCUGCCUCAGCCUCCCAGGUGUUGGGAUUACAGGUGUGCACCACCAUGCCUGGUCAUGAUAGGCUUCUUUGUGCCAAGAAACGUGUGGAGAAUAUAAAUAAUGAGCAGAGCAGGCUAGUCGUCUUUGACUCACUCCACAAAUGUGUGUGCUUGACAACUGGGGUUUGCUGAGGAGCGAACACAGUUUUCUGUAGGGAAGUCAGCAUCUAGAAAAGACUGGACAUUAAUCAGAAAGUCAUAUCAGUGGAUUACAAACUGAGGGGUAAAUGCUCUCAAGGAAAGGAGUAGUUCUGUGAAGACUUCAAAGGAACCUGACCUAGAACGGCUUCAGGGGAUCCUUCUCUGGAAAAGUGGUGUUGGACCUAAGAUCUGAGGGAAGAGCAGGUUUUCAGAUGUGUG